RNAcentral lists this long non-coding RNA (199 nucleotides) under Lathyrus oleraceus (garden pea). Its description in RNAcentral is "Pisum sativum (pea) long non-coding RNA (PSAT_LNC038828)". Lineage: Eukaryota; Viridiplantae; Streptophyta; Magnoliopsida; Fabales; Fabaceae. The record is from RNAcentral.
ACAAGAAAGCAUCUCAGAAUCUCGAAGGGGUUAGGAGAGUAAAUUACCAAGAUGGUCAUAAAGCCAUCCAAAAGCAUCAAGUGGGUGAGCCAGGAAGGCUUUCGAUCCCAGGAGAUAUCCUGAUCCAAGACGCCCCAUGGUGAAGCUGAGUGAAACCAAGCAAGCAGGGCGAAAUUUCAAACCCAUUUCCUUUAAGCCU